GUGAGACCAAGAACCCACCAAUUCCGGACACAUAACCAUGCCUAGGAAGGAAAGGAGUUGCUGUUUUGUAGAAGCGAUUGGGAUUUGGGAGAUUAGCUGGAUAUGAUCAGCAGGGAGAGCACGUGUGUUUUCAUGAGAAUUAUGCCAAGCUUCCCUUUGUGGCUAGAGUGAAGUAUACUGGUAUAAAGUGCUCUAAAAAUACAGAAACUGAGAGAAGAAGAAAUAUGAAAAAGAAAUGGAGAAAUGUGAGAGAGAAAACCAUUUACUGUGCGACAUUAGACUUCCUCGUGAUGAAGGAGGAGGAGAACAUUGGAUCUGAUAGGUGAUUCAAGUCUAAAAAUUGACUGAACUAAAAUUUAAAAGCCAAAAAAGGUGAAAGGUGAUGGAAUCUGUCUCAAGUAUGAAGAGUUCCUGUAACUUCAUAAGGAUGAAAGAUUUAACAGAGUACACUUAAGAGCAACAAGACAACUGUAAUCUUUUCACAUUUAUACCGCAGUGGACUGAGAUUCAACAAUCUGGUAAUGUUGUUCUCCUCCUACUCUUUUCCUUCUCCACCUGUGUCUGCUUUUUCUUCUCCUUAUUAUUAUUAUGUUGUUAUUCAUUAGUUACCAAAACCUGAAAUAUUUCUCAGGGUUCUUCAAGUGUAAUGCAAAUCUGGCUAUAAAUUGAGAUUUUCUACUCACCCUUUCAAUUCUUGAAAACACUAACUUAUAAACUUCCAAAACAUACAGGAGAUCCCUAAAUAGUAAACAUGGAGAAAUAACAUAGGUGUAAUGAUUUUAUUAAAUUAUAAUAACUAGAAACAAA
This 807-nucleotide long non-coding RNA is filed under the name Homo sapiens (human). RNAcentral's name for it is "HSALNT0318881". The record is from RNAcentral. Lineage: Eukaryota; Metazoa; Chordata; Mammalia; Primates; Hominidae.